This 493-nucleotide ribosomal RNA is filed under the name uncultured bacterium. RNAcentral describes it as "bacterial SSU rRNA". It matches the Rfam family "Bacterial small subunit ribosomal RNA", at positions 30 to 518 of the family's 1533-position model. The record is from RNAcentral.
AUUGAACGCUGGCGGCAUGCCUUACACAUGCAAGUCGAACGGUAACAGGUCUUCGGAUGCUGACGAGUGGCGAACGGGUGAGUAAUACAUCGGAACGUGCCCGAUCGUGGGGGAUAACGGAGCGAAAGCUUUGCUAAUACCGCAUACGAUCUACGGAUGAAAGCAGGGGACCGCAAGGCCUUGCGCGGACGGAGCGGCCGAUGGCAGAUUAGGUAGUUGGUGGGAUAAAAGCUUACCGAGCCGACGAUCUGUAGCUGGUCUGAGAGGACGACCAGCCACACUGGGACUGAGACACGGCCCAGACUCCUACGGGAGGCAGCAGUGGGGAAUUUUGGACAAUGGGCGCAAGCCUGAUCCAGCCAUGCCGCGUGCAGGAUGAAGGCCUUCGGGUUGUAAACUGCUUUUGUACGGAACGAAAGACUCUUUCUAAUAAAGAGGGUCCAUGACGGUACCGUAAGAAUAAGCACCGGCUAACUACGUGCCAGCAGCCGAC